AUUGAACGCUAGCGGGAUGCUUUACACAUGCAAGUCGAACGAGUGGCGGACGGGUGAGUAAUAUAUCGGCACGUGCCCAGUAGCGGGGGAUAACUAAUCGGAAGAGUUGCUAAUAACGCAUACUAUUGGAGCGGCCGAUAUCGGAUUAGCUAGUUGGUGGGGUAAAGGCUCACCAAGGCCACGAUCCGUAGCUGGUUUGAGAGGACGACCAGCAACACUGGGACUGAGACACGGCCCAGACUCCUACGGGAGGCAGCAGUGGGGAAUUUUGGACAAUGGGCGAAACCCUGAUCCAGCCAUGCCGCGUGUAUGAGAAGGCCUUCGGGUUGUAAAGUACUUUAGGUAGAGAAGCGGUAUCUGCAGAAUAAGCACCGGCUAACGACGUGCCAGCAGCCGCGGUAAUAC
This 405-nucleotide ribosomal RNA is filed under the name uncultured bacterium. RNAcentral's name for it is "partial 16S ribosomal RNA". It matches the Rfam family "Bacterial small subunit ribosomal RNA", at positions 30 to 526 of the family's 1533-position model. The record is from RNAcentral.